RNAcentral lists this long non-coding RNA (1587 nucleotides) under Bos grunniens (domestic yak). Its description in RNAcentral is "lncRNA (ENSBGRG00000002334.1)". The record is from RNAcentral. Lineage: Eukaryota; Metazoa; Chordata; Mammalia; Artiodactyla; Bovidae.
ACCUGCUUGGUUGUCCCAAGGAGGGCGGGUGAGAGCGGUUCUGAGGCCGUCCUUCCCUCCAGCCUGGCUCCACAGGCGGCGUUCCGACCUUGGAGAACCUGCCGGGGUCUGCAGUGGGGUGCGGGGCGGUGGCGGCGGGCUGAGGCGGUGCGCGGCGGCACGCACCUUCCCACCUGGCACCGCCCACAGGCCGCCCCGCGCGGGCCCGCCGCGCUGACAAGUGCGCGCGCGCGCCCUCCGCGCCGGCCCGUGGCGCAUGCGCGCUCCGCGCUGUCUUCUCAGCCAGAGCGGCGGCGGCGUUUGAGUGGAGGAAGAUGGCGGCUCCGGGUUGCUCGGUGUCCCGCCAGCUGUGAGGAGUCCCGAGUGCGGCGGGCGCGGCCUGCGGCGCAGCGCCUCUGCUCGCGUCCUGACCCGGGUUCCCUCACCGCCUUCGCCAGCGGAGCGUACCCGAGAACGUGGCGCGGGCUAGGCCAGGUGUCAAGUGGGAUGUCAUGGCCAGCUCCUCAGACAGCGAAGAUGACAGUUUCAUGGCUGUGGACCAAGAGGAGACCGUGCUGGAAGGGACAAUGGAGCAAGACGAGGAGCCCCGCGCGGCGCUGGAGGUUGUGGAGAUGCAACAUAACAGGUCCAUGUCUGAGCUGCCAGAAGAGGUUUUGGAGUAUAUCCUGUCCUUCCUCUCCCCGUACCAGGAGCACAAAACUGCAGCCCUCGUCUGCAAGCAGUGGUAUCGACUGAUUAAAGGUACUGUGGAAAGUGCAAAGGUUUAUUCACGUAUUUAAGAUUUCUUUGAAUGAUUUCUAAUCUCUCAGUUUCCUUCUCUCUUUUCUCCUUUCCGUUUAUUGUGGUUCUGAAACUUAGCAUUAGACAGUUCGCUCUGUACAUUUUUCUUUCUCUCUAUCCUGCCUAGCGUUAUGAACAACUUGAAUACUGUAGGUUUGAAUCCAAUUUGCAGUUUUAAAAUGAGGAUUCUUCAUAUUCUUGGAGUUGAUCCAGUUUGAGUCUACUUUUCUGUAUGGUGUUAAGGAGUUUUCUGAUUUCGUGUUUUUACAUAUGGCUGUCCAGUCUUCCCAGCACCACUCUGUCACAGAUAGUUGACCAGAGGUGCCUGAGCCUCCUGCCCUGCUCCAUCGGUCUGCAUUUCUGGUCUGGGGCCAGUGCCAUACCGCUCUGAUUGCUGCAGCUUUGUAGCAUGGAGAGUGGUCAGGAGCCUGAUUGGUCCAGCUCCGUUUUCUUUCUCAAGAUUGCUUUGGCUGUUCUUUUAUGUCUUUUAGGAUCUUUUGUGUCUCUAUACAGAAUUAAAGAAUUUUUUUCUAGUUUUGUGAAAAAUGUCAUGGGUGACAUGAUAGGGAUUGCAUCGAACGUGUAGAUUGCCUUGGGUAGUAUAGUCAUUUUGGUACGUAACUGUACUCUUUGGCCUAAGAGUUAGGGCUGGAAGUGGAAAGGCCUUCCUCUAGCAAGUUACGCACAUGGAACAGAGUUCGCUCACAGUAGAGCAGAGGUGGCCGUCCAGGAUCUUUUAUUUAACACAGUUUAUAGUAAACCCGUCACAGUUCCUGCCUGCUUCCGAGGAAUGGCGGGAUUGCUGCU